This 553-nucleotide ribosomal RNA is filed under the name Bifidobacterium longum subsp. suillum. Its description in RNAcentral is "bacterial SSU rRNA". It matches the Rfam family "Bacterial small subunit ribosomal RNA", at positions 144 to 712 of the family's 1533-position model. Lineage: Bacteria; Bacillati; Actinomycetota; Actinomycetes; Bifidobacteriales; Bifidobacteriaceae. The record is from RNAcentral.
UCUCUCCUGGAAACGGGUGGUAAUGCCGGAUGCUCCAGUUGAUCGCAUGGUCUUCUGGGAAAGCUUUCGCGGUAUGGGAUGGGGUCGCGUCCUAUCAGCUUGACGGCGGGGUAACGGCCCACCGUGGCUUCGACGGGUAGCCGGCCUGAGAGGGCGACCGGCCACAUUGGGACUGAGAUACGGCCCAGACUCCUACGGGAGGCAGCAGUGGGGAAUAUUGCACAAUGGGCGCAAGCCUGAUGCAGCGACGCCGCGUGAGGGAUGGAGGCCUUCGGGUUGUAAACCUCUUUUAUCGGGGAGCAAGCGAGAGUGAGUUUACCCGUUGAAUAAGCACCGGCUAACUACGUGCCAGCAGCCGCGGUAAUACGUAGGGUGCAAGCGUUAUCCGGAAUUAUUGGGCGUAAAGGGCUCGUAGGCGGUUCGUCGCGUCCGGUGUGAAAGUCCAUCGCUUAACGGUGGAUCCGCGCCGGGUACGGGCGGGCUUGAGUGCGGUAGGGGAGACUGGAAUUCCCGGUGUAACGGUGGAAUGUGUAGAUAUCGGGAAGAACACCAC